UGGGGAAUAUUGCACAAUGGGCGCAAGCCUGAUGCAGCCAUGCCGCGUGUAUGAAGAAGGCCUUCGGGUUGCAAAGUACUUUCAGCGGGGAGGAAGGGAGUAAAGUUAAUACCUUUGCUCAUUGACGUUACCCGCAGAAGAAGCACCGGCUAACUCCGUGCCAGCAGCCGCGGUAAUACGGAGGGUGCAAGCGUUAAUCGGAAUUACUGGGCGUAAAGCGCACGCAGGCGGUUGAUUGAGUCAGAUGUGAAAUCCCCGGGCUUAACCCGGGAAUUGCAUCUGAUACUGGUCAGCUAGAGUCUUGUAGAGGGGGGUAGAAUUCCAUGUGUAGCGGUGAAAUGCGUAGAGAUGUGGAGGAAUACCGGUGGCGAAGGCGGCCCCCUGGACAAAGACUGACGCUCAGGUGCGAAAGCGUGGGGAGCAAACAGG
RNAcentral lists this ribosomal RNA (429 nucleotides) under Chloroflexota bacterium. RNAcentral describes it as "Chloroflexi bacterium partial 16S ribosomal RNA". It matches the Rfam family "Bacterial small subunit ribosomal RNA", at positions 355 to 776 of the family's 1533-position model. The record is from RNAcentral. Lineage: Bacteria; Bacillati; Chloroflexota.